Molecule: ribosomal RNA, 433 nt
Filed under: uncultured bacterium
Lineage: Bacteria
Description: partial 16S ribosomal RNA
Rfam family: Bacterial small subunit ribosomal RNA
Source: RNAcentral
AACGAACGCUGGCGGCAUGCCUAACACAUGCAAGUCGAACGAAGGCUUCGGCCUUAGUGGCGCACGGGUGCGUAACGCGUGGGAAUCUGCCCUUUGGUUCGGAAUAACAGCUGGAAACGGCUGCUAAUACCGGAUGAUGACGAAAGUCCAAAGAUUUAUCGCCAGAGGAUGAGCCCGCGUUGGAUUAGGUAGUUGGUGGGGUAAAGGCCUACCAAGCCGACGAUCCAUAGCUGGUCUGAGAGGAUGAUCAGCCACACUGGGACUGAGACACGGCCCAGACUCCUACGGGAGGCAGCAGUGGGGAAUAUUGGACAAUGGGCGCAAGCCUGAUCCAGCAAUGCCGCGUGAGUGAUGAAGGCCCUAGGGUUGUAAAGCUCUUUUACCCGGGAAGAUAAUGACUGUACCGGGAGAAUAAGCACCGGCUAACUCCGUG